GCCAGCAACAUACCACCCUGCAUCCCACUGCUGGCUUGCCUCUGAAGCUAAGCAGGGUUGGUCCUGGAUGGGAGACCAGAUGCUGCUGGAA
Molecule: ribosomal RNA, 91 nt
Filed under: Hucho hucho (huchen)
Lineage: Eukaryota; Metazoa; Chordata; Actinopteri; Salmoniformes; Salmonidae
Source: RNAcentral